This 66-nucleotide ribosomal RNA is filed under the name Anopheles splendidus. RNAcentral's name for it is "partial 5.8S ribosomal RNA". The record is from RNAcentral. Lineage: Eukaryota; Metazoa; Arthropoda; Insecta; Diptera; Culicidae.
GGGGAACUGACGCAUAUUGCGCAUCGGACGUCUCAACCCGACCGAUGCACACAUCCUUGAGUGCCU